This is a long non-coding RNA of Acinonyx jubatus (cheetah), 5938 nucleotides long. RefSeq lists it as uncharacterized. NCBI's taxonomy places the organism in Eukaryota, Metazoa, Chordata, Mammalia, Carnivora, Felidae. The record is from RefSeq and is a predicted model, not a curated record. The transcript is spliced from 3 exons.
GGAGCCGGGGCGCCGGACGGCCAGGGGGCGGGGCGCGCGGGGCCAGCCCAGACGGGACCUUUGUGUCCGCGCGCCGGACUGGCGGGAGCGCGGGUCGCCGGGCUCGGGGAGGGGACCGCGGCCCCUCGUCCCGUGGGGGAGCCGGGAGAAUGCCCGCCCGUGCUGCACCUACGGUCGGAACAUUCCCCUGAAAAGUGAAGGUCCCGUUCAGGUCCCUCCCCUAACAACCCGCGGCAGGUCCGGGCCCAGCUGACCUCUGCUCCAGAAUCCGCAAGGCCCGCGGCGCCUCCGUUUCAGCGGAGAAAAAGAGCUCCAGGAACGAUGAGAACGAAUAAAAAGAGAGGAGAGGAAACUGAGGCAUGGAGAUAGGUGAGCACACCCCGUCCCCUGCCUGGCCACUGCAAGUCUCUGCAAGAGAAGCCCCUAAAAGCCAGCCCAGCCCUGGACCAUGGCUCAGACACCACUGAGGACACAGCAAGAAUACAGCUGUCCCCAAGCCAGGAAGAGGGUCCUCCACCAGGAACCAAAUCUCGGGCAUUCUGAACUUGGACUUCCCAGGUUCCAAAAACGUGAGAAGUCACUUUCUGUUGCUUAUGCCACCCAGUCUGGUGUUUUGUUAUGGCAUCAGGAACAGCCUUUUCCUCCUCAACUAACCACAGAAUUGUUUUAAUUUUUUUUUUUUUUAAGUUUAUUUAUUUUGAGAGAGAAACACCACCAUUGGGGGAGGGGCAGAGAGAGAGAGAGAGAGAGAGAGAGAGAGAAUCCCAAGCAGGCUCAGCACUGUCGGCGCAGAGCCUGAUGCGGGGCUCGAACUCAAGAACGGGAGGUCAUGACCUGAACCAAAAGCAAGCGUUGGGCGCUUAACCAACUGAGUCCCCCGGGCACCCCAGCCUCUGAGAAUCCCACACCUGAGUUUGGUGCAGUUCCCGCCUGCAGUCAUUCACUGGGGUAUCAUCAGUGCCAGGCCUCCCUUUGCAGUGCUGAGCAUCCAGAGUAAAAAGUGCCCACCCAGGUCCCGCCCUGGAGGAAGUGCCUCCUCCAGAGGGAUGGCAGGCAGGUUGAUAAGGUAGGGUGUCAGGUGGUGGGCUGGAUAAGCAUCCCUGGCUCAGUGAGUGCCCUGCCCUUGGCCCUAUCAGAGAAGACGGGUACGUGGAGAAAUUCUUUCUCCCAACUUGCCACGGCUUGAGCCUCCUGCAACCAGAGACAUCAGCCCACUAUCAUGGCCCCAUCUCAUGGCACUGGCCUAGUGGCCAGACUUGAGCCAGCAGCAGAUGAGAAGAUCUGGCCUAACUUUUCCACCCAAUAAAGACCAAUCAUCCGUCCAGCCAUGUGACAAAUAGUUAUUGCACAUGAGCUCUGUUCUAAGCCCUAGACUAAACAAAACUCAUGUUGGUCCUGUCCUGCCACCCCCUGUCCCCCAGAGGGCUACAGUCUAAUUAGGGGAAGCAGAUGUUAAACCAGUAAUCACAAUGGUAUAAAGUCCCGCUGUAUCCAUAGCAGGGACAGCCAUCAUGCUGGAGAAGCCAGGAGAAUCUUCUCUGGAAAGUGCUGGUUGACCUGGGGUCUCCUGGAAGACCAGGAAUUGAAUAGACAAAGGAAAGGACAUUCCUGAGAAAGGUUAGCACACGUGCAAAGGCCCUGAGACAGGAGUGUGGUGGGGCUCGGACACGAGAAGCAACGUGGACGGAAGUGACAUGGCCAGAGCCAGAGGGGGCUAAGUGGAUGGGUCUCAAUUACAGAGCUUCACUUUAAGAGUGACAGCAGCCUGGUAAGGUCUAAAAGCAGGGAUGAGAGGGAGACUCCUCCCCCCAAAGUAUACCUGUCCACCCAUCUGCCCCCCAUUCCUUCCCACCAUGACUUGGACCUCUACUAUCUCACCAGAAGCAGUGGCCUCCUCCCCUGCCUUAUGCCUCCCCUAAUAUCCGUGACCUCGCUUGUUUUCUGUGCAGCAGCCAGAGUGAGCUUUCAAAAGUAUAAAUCUGACUGUUGCUAAAAAAAAAAAAAAAUUAUUUCUGACCCUUGCUGAAAUGGUAAGACGGACUUUGUUCAGCACUGUCGCGAUAGGGACAGGGGCCCCUGCAGUGGGGUUUGCAUUCAGGGAGAGAGAUGGGGCUCACGUCCACAUACAGGGAGGAGAAGAUGUGUAGCCACAGAGCAGGGUCCGAGAGUGCGAGACUACUAGGAGGAAAUAGCAGGGGGAAGGGGGGGGGGGCGGUCUGGCUAAGCUGGCCUGGCAGGAUUCUUGCGGAAGACAUGGGCGGUCACACAUCCCCUGGGAGGAGGCAGGGGAUGAGGAAUUUGGUCAGACCUAGAGGGCAGGGAAUUCUGACUAAACCAACUCGUCAGGAUUCUUGCCAAAACUGGACUCUUACAGGGACACGGUGGGAAGCUCCAGCUUGUGCCCAGGCGAGCCGAAGGCUCAGAGGAGCCCAACUGAAGUCUGGUCAGGGAGAGAGUCUCUGUCACCAGGUCGUCCUGCCCCUGCUCAAAACCCUUCAGUAACGCCCUGUUGCUCUUUUAACGAAACCCAGACUCAUGUGCUGUAGCACUUCAGAUUGACUUAACAUAAGAAAACUCCAGUAAGGAGCAUCACCAAGUUGGAGGCACAUGUGUCAUGGAAAAGACAACGGCAGGGGAUACGUCUGGGGUGGAUACAGCAGGUCUGGAGGCCCUAAGGAUUGGGUGUCUCCACAUGCUUUAACCCUCAGCAGGUCCCCUCUCUUGGCACCUCGGUUUUUUCAUCUGUAAAAUGGGGACAAUGUCAGCACGUCUCUCGAUAAGGUUGCCGUGUUAAAGUGAGAGACUGCAUGAAUGCUUAGGCACGUUGUGAGAAUUAUUUUUUUAAUGUUUGUUUUUAAAUGUUUAUUUUGAGAGAGUGAUAGCGAAUGGGGGAGGGGCAGAGAGAGAGAGAGAAUCAAUCCCAAGCACUGUCAGCACAGAGCCUGAUGUGAGGCUCAGAGUCACAAACCGAGAGAUAAUCGCCUGAGCCGAAAUCAAGAUGCUUAACCAACUGAGCUACCCAGGCGUGCCUAAAUGUUUGUUUAUUUGAGAGAGAGUGAGAGAGUGCACAAGAGUGGGGGAGGAGCAGAGAGAGAGGAAGAGAGAGAAUCCCAAACAGGCUCUGAGCUGUCAGAGCAGGGCCCAACGUGGGGCUCAGUCUCAUGAGCCACGAGGUCAUGACCUGAGCCGGAAUCAAGAGUCGGACGCUCAACCGACUGAGCCACCCCGGCGCCCCCAGAGAAUUAUUAUGAUUAUUGUUACUUGCUUUUUAAAACACCACUUGCUUAAAUCUAGGUGUCAUUGCCCUUAGCAAUGACAAUAGCCACCCAGUUCUGCCCCCUACAAUGUGCCAGGCACACUGGACACCUUCAGCUCUGAAGACCAGCACAGGUUGACUUCUGAAACCCUCAUCACAACCCAGAAGAACACGCUCUGGGGAUGGGGAAAUGAGGCUCAGAUCAGCAAUGCGACUUACCCAAGAUCACGCAGCAGUACCUGGACAGGCCAAGAUUUGGACAUUGCUGUGUCACACCCCAAGGUGCUCAUUCCCUAGGUGACUUAGACUGAAGUCCCCUCCCCAGGAUGUGUCACCCCAGUCUGCAUCCCCGAGAGGGGCCUCCCCGGGCUAGAGCAGGGAUGGGAACUUGGGCUGUGGGAACACCAGCUCCUCCCUGCCUGGUGCUCUUUGUCUCUUUUGAGGCACCACUUUCUGGAGAGUCACUUCCCCGCCCUUGGUCUGCCUCCAGCCACUGCCCCUCUGUGCAGCAGCCCCAGGAGGUCUUAUAACAUGCAUUGGAUCUCAGCACUCCCUGCCCAAGCUCUGCUCACUCCACUGCGGCCCUAAUGGGCCCCCCAGGGCCUUUGCACAUGCUGUUCCCUCAGCUGGGAACGGUCUUACCCCAUAUCUUCCCAUGCUGCCUCUUUCUAGUCAUUAUGCCUCAGAAGAGGUGCCCACCUCUGCCCACCCUGAACCAAGUGUGGUACCCGCUAAAAUGUGAGCUUCCCAGGGCAGGUACCUUAUCUGCCUCCCAUGGUUUUUAUGUCUGACUUAUAGUAGGUGCUCAAUAAACACGUUGAAGAAACAGGGGCAGCUGCCAUGUGAUGGGAGGGAACAAGAUGUGUCCAGGAUGAGGGACCCGACAGAUAACUCGAUUUCCCCUUCUGUAAAAUGGCACCAGGAGAGCCUAGAGUGGAGAAGGGGUUGGGUGGGGAGCCCAGGGAAGGGACUGAGCCCCUCAGGCAGCUCUUGAGGCUGAAAGCACGAGGUCCAAGUAGGCUGGCCAAGCCCGCGGGCUGAAGGAGGAAAAGACGGACCCAGGAGCCACCUGUGUGAACAACCCACACACCCGGAUACCCAGGCCGCGCACCCCUCCCACCUAGACACACACAGACACCCAGACAUGACAAGUCCCACACACACAGCCCACCUGAGAGGCAGGGACGCACACACACAGAGACGUCCACGUGCAAACCUGCACCACACACACCCUGUGCCGAUGAGCACACCCCCUGACCGCACAAGACCCACAGCACAGCUACGCCAGCACCCCCCACCACCCCAACACAAGUCCGCACGGAUGGAAGGGUGCGGAACCACAGCUCCCAGGGCUCUUCUCCAUCUAGAAAGUCCCCCUCUCCUCCUCCAGGCAGGCCUCAGUGGGGGGGGGGGGGGGGGCGGGGGGGGGUCUGUCCCAGAGUUCUGAGGACAGGGGAUGGGUGGCAGCCACCAGGGAAGAAGUAACCGUGUCACUCCGUCAUCUGGGUCCCCACUGAUCAGUGAGAGGACCUUCCUGGGUGCCCAGGGCACAAGAACCACCCGCCUCCUGCCGCUUUCCUUUCCUCGCCCAAGUAGGGAACGGGGCUUGGGGUGCACCCCACCUCACACUCUUCCAGCCCCCAGCUCACCACAGCCUGGGCGGAAGAGGCGGCAGGGAAGUGGCACAGCUGGAAAGUCAGCCCAGAGAGGUUAGGGGUGCCCCAGUUUGACCCAGCAAGUCCCCGCCCAGGGCUGCAGGCUCCCCACCACCCAACAGAUGGAGUCAGGGGGAGCUCCAGGGAAAGCCCCACCCCACACUUGCACAAGAAUGACAGUUAGAACUCAUUCCUCCAGAUUCCUUUCUUGUCACCUCAUCACCUCCGAGCCCUUCUGGGAAGAGAGGCUGGGCAGGAAGCAGAUGGGGGGAGUCCCAUUGCCUUUUUCCUUUAAGCAGCCCCAGCUGCAAAGCCUUAUUGCUGAAGAAGAUAGCAUAGCCCAGAGAGGGGGAGUGAGAUGCCCAGGGUCACACAGUGGGGGAGGACCUCAGUGGAGGCAGGGGGUGGGGCUCCCUGGACCCUCAGCUGCCAAAACUCCAGGCUCAUAUGUUCCUAGGAUGGCCUGCCUCCCACCUUGGCCUUUAUGACUCUGCUUAUUUAAUGUAUUAUUGUCUUGCUUACUAAUAUUACUAAUUGCUAACUCAUUGCAAGCUUUCAAUAUGCCAGGCACAGAGCUAAGGACUUCACACAGAUUUCUUUCAUUCGUUCAUUUUUCCUGCAACAAAUCUCGAUUAAGCAUCUACUGUGUCCCAGGCACUGUGGUAGGCUCUCGGAGAGACACAUGUGAACAAAACUGAUGAGGUCUGGGCUCUCACAGAGCUGACAUUUUAGGAGCAAAACACAAUAAUCAAGUAAACUAAUACACGAACCUGUUAAUUCCAGACAGAGAUAACUGUCGUCAAAAUCGAACCAUGUUGGGGCGCCUGGGUGGCUCAGUCGGUUGAACAUCCGACUUCGGCUCAGGUCAUGAUCUCACGGUUCAUGAGUUGGAGCCCCGCGUCGGGCUCUGUGGUGACGGCUCAGAGCCUGGAGCCUGCUUCACAUUCUGUGUCUCCCUCUCUCUCUGACCCUUCCCCGUUCAUGCUCUCUCUCUGUCUCAAAAGUAAAUAAACGUUAAAAAACAUUU